RNAcentral lists this long non-coding RNA (920 nucleotides) under Panax ginseng (ginseng). RNAcentral's name for it is "long non-coding RNA (PGIN_LNC015977)". The record is from RNAcentral. Lineage: Eukaryota; Viridiplantae; Streptophyta; Magnoliopsida; Apiales; Araliaceae.
AAGAAUACAACCAUCUCUCCCUCUCCAAACAUAUUUGCCUUGAUUACAACAGCAUAGGUCUCUUCUCCCACUCACAAACCACUCCAAAUGGCUCCUCUUCUUCUUUAUCACCUCAAUGUUCGGAUUUUCCAUUCUUUAGUACAUUGUACAAGUCGGUCAAUCUCAAGUCACAGCUACUUCAUGGUGGCCCAGGUUCAGAAUUGGAAUCUGCAAUCAAGAAAAGAAUUAUGGAUUUCCUUAAUAUCUCUGAAAAUGAUUAUUGCAUGGUUUUUACUGCAAAUAGAUCAUCAGCUUUUAAGCUUGUGGCAGAGUCUUAUCCCUUCCGGUCAAGUCGAAAGCUUCUGACAGUUUAUGACUACGAGAGUGAGGCAGUGGAAGGUAUGGCGAGUUUCUCAGAGAAAAGAGGAGCACGAGUCAUGUUAACUGAAUUUAAAUGGCCAAGAUUUAGGAUUCACUCGAAAAAAUUGAGGAAGAUGUUGGUGCGGAAGAAAAAAAAAGAAGAGACAUGGAGGAUUGUUUGUGUUCCCUCUUCAGUCUAGAAUGACUGGAGCCAGUUAUUCUUUUCAAUGGAUGACCACCGCACAGGAAAAUGGGUAGCAUGUUUUGCUUGAUGCUUGUGCAUUGGGGCCAAAGGACAUGAACAGCUUUGGGCUCUCCCUCAUCCACCCUGACUUCCUAGUUUGCUCCUUCUACAAGGUUUUUGGGGAAAACCCAACUGGAUUUGGAUGUCUAUUUGUCAAGAAAUCCACUGUAUCAGUCUUGGAAGACUCCACAUCCACAGCUAUGGUUAAUCUUAUCCCAGCAAAAAAACUGUUUGUGUUACCUGAAGAUUCUUCCGCGGACACAGAACUCGAACAAGCAUCCAGAUUAUGGGAACAAGAAGAUGACUUGGCUACGACGAGCUCUUUCUCGGCUGCUAC